Molecule: long non-coding RNA, 2091 nt
Filed under: Trifolium pratense (red clover)
Lineage: Eukaryota; Viridiplantae; Streptophyta; Magnoliopsida; Fabales; Fabaceae
Description: long non-coding RNA (TPRA_LNC001365)
Source: RNAcentral
AAAUCUAAAUUUGUUCAAAAUUAUUUUUUGUAAGACUAAAAAUGAAAUUUUAAUUAUUUAUGUUAAUAUAAAUUUAAAUUUUAAAUAAAUUUUGUAUAUAGGUAUUCAACAAAAACUAAGUGUAUGUUUGGUUGCGCGUUUGCACACCUCAAACUCACGUUUUGGACCCCAAACGUGAUUAUCUUCUUUUGCCAAUAUGUUUGGUUUCUCUUCGACAACGUGAUUUUGACCUGUAAACUCGAUUCUAACAGAAGCUGGAAAUCCUAGCUUUUACGGUGGGCUCAAAAUCAAUUCUACCUUUAAUUUUCGUUAUUCCUUCAUUGCCCUUACCAAAACUCAUUAAUCAACACUUCAUUAUCCAGAUUUGUCACACCUAGCUACUGCAUGUUGUCUUUCCUCUACGAAAUUGACAGCAACACCGAUCCGUCUCCCACCAAAAGUAGAAAUGGUGAUGAUGUUUCUAUUGAGAAUGAGCAAAGUCGAGCAUAAAUUUGGGAUUGUGAAAUUGAAGAACUGUGAGAAUGAAAAUGGACAAUUAAUGAGAAAAAUUGUUAAUUUGAAAGACAGAUUGGUGAAGAAUAGUUGAGGGAAGGAGAAGAAUUGUCUUUGUUGCGUUUGAAAGUUCUAGAUAAAUGGUGAAAAUAAUUGAAGUAAUUUUUAGGUUUUUCGUUUAAGUGUUGGGCUUUUUUAUUUUUAUUACUAUUGGGUUUCCUUUUAUUGGGAAAAUUGGAUUGGAGUUUUUUUUCUCUAUGCAGAUGUGCUCUUGGGAAUAUUGGGUCGGAGGUUUUAUUUGAUAAUUCUAUUAUUUUUUAUAGAUCACUUAUGAUUUAUAUAUAUGAUAGGUCUUUUGGUAAUUUACACAUUUAAAAGUAAUUUUGAUUCAAAUUAUCCAAACAACAUAAAAUGUUAAGAAUCACUUUUACCUUAACGUAUCCAAACAUAAAUCAAUUAUGUUCAACUCACUUUUAACCAAAAUCAAUUCUCUCAAACUCAAUUCUGUCAAACUCAAUUCUCUUCACCGCCAAACCAAACACACACUAACAUACCUAGUAAUUUAUCAUUAAAUUUUCUUUUUAUCUUAUUUAAAAUUGUUUUCUCCCCAUUUUGAUAACGUUCCUUAAUUCUUAUUUGAUAUCACAGCACUGGAAUUCUGCGAAGAUAAUGGGGAUUGCCGCAAUUAUACCUGUACCCCACCUGCAGUUCCAAAUUGCGUAUUCAAUGCUGUGAAAAAUCUAAAGUCGUUUUUUGGACUUGGGAUUUGUCAAUGUGUACCUUAAUUAGUGGUUUGUGAAUGUGUGAAUAAAUCCUAAAAUAAUUUCUUUAAGAAUAAUGUUUAAAAGGGCGUGGUGGUGAGGUGUUGACGUGGAGGUGUUGGUUUUGGCGCCGCCGGUGGGAGGUGAGGUGAGGUGUUUUGGCGCCGUGGUCCUUCUACCAAGUUUAGUGUCAAUCACCACUGAACCAACUAACGAUUGGUGUGGUUAUGGUUUUAUUUCGUUUAAUAAUAUGUUCUAUUUUAUUUUUUUACAAGUUUGAUACUGUAUGGCAAAUAGCAACUAUAAAAAAUUAUUUAUCAUUUUAUGGGAAAAAUAAAAAUUAUUGGACAUUUGCAAGUACAUUUUUUUACUUUGUAGGGGUAACAUCCCAUGCUACUUUAUGCAUGCAUGCGUCACUAAAUAUAAAUAAAGGUUAAUUCUUCGGUACACAUAUUUAAUGAUUGAAAUGGUUAUGGAAAUACAGUAAGAGUAGGUACCUGGGAAGGUGUUGUGUGGACUGAGAAGCCAUUAAUUAUGUGUUUGUAGCUGUGGAGUUUAUUGUAACUUCCAUUCUUCAAAGUGCUUUAUAGAAGCGUAUUGUGAGAUGCCAAUAAAUGUUUUUCACGUGCCUUCGAAGCUUCUCUAUUUAAUUAGACACACAAAAAAUGUAAAUUAAGAUAUAGGGUCAAAAUUGUUGAUUGAUCUUGGGCUUAUUUAUUGCCCUAUUUGUAAUUAAAAAAAAAUUGUUGAUUGAAGACCACUUGAAACAAAUUUCCAAAAAAACAAAAUAUAUGUCUUAAAUAAGCAUCAAUACUAAAUAAAAUUUCAUUUGGUUGAA